GUGCUGGCUUCAGCAGCACAGACACUAAAAUGGGAUGAUACUGAGAAGAUUAGUGUGGCCCCCACGCAAGGAUGACAGGCAUGCUCCCCAGAGAAUAGUGCUUCCCAU
Mustela putorius furo (domestic ferret) is the source of this 108-nucleotide small nuclear RNA. NCBI's taxonomy places the organism in Eukaryota, Metazoa, Chordata, Mammalia, Carnivora, Mustelidae. The record is from Ensembl.